AGCGCGAUGGAGCAGCUCGGUCAGCUCGCAGGGCUCAUAAUCCUGAGGUCGCAGGUUCAAAUCCUGCUCGCGCCA
This 75-nucleotide transfer RNA is filed under the name Actinomadura alba. RNAcentral describes it as "tRNA-Met". It matches the Rfam family "tRNA". Rfam says of the family: Transfer RNA (tRNA) molecules are approximately 80 nucleotides in length. Their secondary structure includes four short double-helical elements and three loops (D, anti-codon, and T loops). The record is from RNAcentral. Lineage: Bacteria; Bacillati; Actinomycetota; Actinomycetes; Streptosporangiales; Thermomonosporaceae.